AACGAACGCUGGCGGCAUGCCUAACACAUGCAAGUCGAACGAGACCUUCGGGUCUAGUGGCGCACGGGUGCGUAACGCGUGGGAACCUGCCCUUAGGUUCGGAAUAACUCCCCGAAAGGGGUGCUAAUACCGGAUAAUGUCUUCGGACCAAAGAUUUAUCGCCUUUGGAUGGGCCCGCGUUGGAUUAGCUAGUUGGUAGGGUAAAAGCCUACCAAGGCGACGAUCCAUAGCUGGUCUGAGAGGAUGAUCAGCCACACUGGGACUGAGACACGGCCCAGACUCCUACGGGAGGCAGCAGUGGGGAAUAUUGGACAAUGGGCGAAGGCCUGAUCCAGCAAUGCCGUGUGAGUGAUGAAGGCCUUAGGGUUGUAAAGCUCUUUUACCCGGGAUGAUAAUGACAGUACCGGGAGAAUAAGCUCCGGCUAACUCCGUG
This 433-nucleotide ribosomal RNA is filed under the name uncultured bacterium. RNAcentral's name for it is "partial 16S ribosomal RNA". It matches the Rfam family "Bacterial small subunit ribosomal RNA", at positions 29 to 507 of the family's 1533-position model. The record is from RNAcentral.